AUGUAAGUUUUUGCAUGAAUUUUUAUUUAUUUUAAUAAUAAAUAAAUUUAAAUUAGUCGCAGUAAUUAAUAUUAUUUAUUAAAGAAAUUUAGAAAUAGUUAUAUUAUUUAGUAUUGGCAAAAUUUGUGCCAGCAGUCGCGGUUAUACAAAUAAUACAAAUAAUUUAUUUUCAGUAAGAGUUAAAUUUUAGUAGAAAAAAUAUAAAUAAAUUUUUAAGGUGAAAUUUUAAAUUUAUAAAUUUUUAAUUUUUUUAUAUUGAAGCUUAAAAAUUUUAGGUAUAAACUAGGAUUAGAUACCCUAUUAUUUAAAAUGUAAUUAUUUUACUAGAGUAGUAUUAGUUAUGUUCUUGAAACUAAAAAAAUUUGGCGGUAUUUUAGUCUAUUCAGAGGAAUCUGUUCUGUAAUUGAUAAUCCACAAUGGACCUUUCUUAAGUUUGUUUUUCAGUUUAUAUACCGUCGUUAUCAGAAUAUUUUAUAAAAAUAAUAAUUUUCAAUAAUUUUUAUAGAAAUUUAUAUCAGAUCAAGGUGUAGCUUAUAUUUAAGUAGAAAUGGAUUACAAUAAAAUUAUUUAAAUGGAUAUAAUAAUGAAAAAGUUAUUGAAAGUGGAUUUGAUAGUAAAUUUAUAGAGAUUAAUAAUUUGAUUUUAGCUCUAAAAUAUGCACACAUCGCCCGUCGCUCUUAUUUUUAAGGUAAGAUAAGUCGUAACAUAGUAGAUGUA
Molecule: ribosomal RNA, 717 nt
Filed under: Palloptera ambusta
Lineage: Eukaryota; Metazoa; Arthropoda; Insecta; Diptera; Pallopteridae
Description: partial 12S ribosomal RNA
Source: RNAcentral